UGCAAGUCGAACGAGACCUUCGGGUCUAGUGGCGCACGGGUGCGUAACGCGUGGGAAUCUGCCCUUGGGUUCGGAAUAACUCAGAGAAAUUUGAGCUAAUACCGGAUGAUGACGUAAGUCCAAAGAUUUAUCGCCCAGGGAUGAGCCCGCGUAGGAUUAGCUAGUUGGUGAGGUAAAGGCUCACCAAGGCGACGAUCCUUAGCUGGUCUGAGAGGAUGAUCAGCCACACUGGGACUGAGACACGGCCCAGACUCCUACGGGAGGCAGCAGUGGGGAAUAUUGGACAAUGGGCGAAAGCCUGAUCCAGCAAUGCCGCGUGAGUGAUGAAGGCCUUAGGGUUGUAAAGCUCUUUUACCCGGGAUGAUAAUGACAGUACCGGGAGAAUAAGCUCCGGCUAACUCCGUGCCAGCAGCCGCGGUAAUACGGAGGGAGCUAGCGUUGUUCGGAAUUACUGGGCGUAAAGCGCACGUAGGCGGCUAUUCAAGUCAGAGGUGAAAGCCUGGAGCUCAACUCCAGAACUGCCUUUGAAACUAGAUAGCUUGAAUCCAGGAGAGGUGAGUGGAAUUCCGGGUGUAGCGGUGAAAUGCGUAGAUAUCCGGAGGAACACCGGUGGCGAAGGCGGCUUCCUGGACCGACACUGACGCUGAGGCGCGAAAGCUA
Molecule: ribosomal RNA, 660 nt
Filed under: uncultured soil bacterium
Lineage: Bacteria
Description: bacterial SSU rRNA
Rfam family: Bacterial small subunit ribosomal RNA
Source: RNAcentral